CAGGGAAUCUUGCGCAAUGGGCGAAAGCCUGACGCAGCGACACCGCGUGAGGGAAGAAUGCUUUCGGGUUGUAAACCUCUUUUGUUAGGGAAGAGAAGGGACUGUACCUGACGAAUAAGCCCCGGCUAAUUACGUG
RNAcentral lists this ribosomal RNA (136 nucleotides) under uncultured bacterium. RNAcentral's name for it is "partial 16S ribosomal RNA". It matches the Rfam family "Bacterial small subunit ribosomal RNA", at positions 355 to 507 of the family's 1533-position model. The record is from RNAcentral.